Molecule: long non-coding RNA, 578 nt
Filed under: Equus asinus (donkey)
Lineage: Eukaryota; Metazoa; Chordata; Mammalia; Perissodactyla; Equidae
Description: lncRNA (ENSEASG00005037687.1)
Source: RNAcentral
CCUUGGAAAGGUGUAGUUGCUUGUUAAGUUCUCAACUGGGAAGGCCCUGGACCGUAAAGGUAGAAUAAAUCAGAACCUCAAGCCUGCAUGAGGUAGGCCGAUGCUAUAAAUUUCUCCAGAGAAAAUCCUUUCUACCAUGAAAAUCUCAGGACAAGAGAGGUCAGCUCCUUGUUUUUCCUCUCCGCGGUAUGGGGUUUCUCAGAGAUUUUUGGUGGUGGCUAAUUGAUCAUGGUGUCCCUAGGAAUGAAACAGCUGGGCAGUCUGCUGGAGUAUUGCUUGAUCUGCAACAUCGAAAAACUCUAGUUCUGGUGGCCAAACCCUGACUUAAGUUGCCACGAUGGAGAGAAGGACCACUCACCAGGUUUUCUGGCCUAAGCCAAUUCACAGACUCAGAGCCUCUUGAGGAAGGACUCUUCAUUACGGUUUCAAGUCCACAGCAUCAGUGAGCUACCAUAGGCCCAUCCUGGACACAAUGCAAUUUUUCAAUCUGUUGACAUCCCGGCUGUGUUCAAGGAGAGACAGUGAGAGAGGAAGAGUGAAUGGGGAAGCAAGAGAGUGAGAGACAGAGAGAGAAUGAG